CCUACGGGUGGCAGCAGUGGGGAAUAUUGGACAAUGGGGGCAACCCUGAUCCAGCCAUGCCGCGUGUGUGAAGAAGGCCCUCGGGUUGUAAAGCACUUUCAGUGAGGAAGAACGCCUGGUGGUUAAUACCCAUCAGGAAAGACAUCACUCACAGAAGAAGCACCGGCUAACUCCGUGCCAGCAGCCGCGGUAAUACGGAGGGUGCGAGCGUUAAUCGGAAUUACUGGGCGUAAAGCGCGCGUAGGUGGCUUGAUAAGCCGGUUGUGAAAGCCCCGGGCUCAACCUGGGAACGGCAUCCGGAACUGUCAAGCUAGAGUGCAGGAGAGGAAGGUAGAAUUCCCGGUGUAGCGGUGAAAUGCGUAGAGAUCGGGAGGAAUACCAGUGGUGAAGGCGGCCUUCUGGACUGACACUGACACUGAGGUGCGAAAGCGUGGGUAGCAAACAGGAUUAGAUACCCCGGUAGUC
RNAcentral lists this ribosomal RNA (465 nucleotides) under Vreelandella stevensii. RNAcentral describes it as "partial 16S ribosomal RNA". It matches the Rfam family "Bacterial small subunit ribosomal RNA", at positions 338 to 795 of the family's 1533-position model. Lineage: Bacteria; Pseudomonadati; Pseudomonadota; Gammaproteobacteria; Oceanospirillales; Halomonadaceae. The record is from RNAcentral.